GACGAAUGCUGGCGGCGUGCUUAACACAUGCAAGUCGAACGGAAGGGCCCUGCUUUUGUGGGGUGCUCGAGUGGCGAACGGGUGAGUAACACGUGAGUAACCUGCCCUUGACUUUGGGAUAACUUCAGGAAACUGGGGCUAAUACCGGAUAGGAGCUCCUGCUGCAUGGUGGGGGUUGGAAAGUUUCGGCGGUUGGGGAUGGACUCGCGGCUUAUCAGCUUGUUGGUGGGGUAGUGGCUUACCAAGGCUUUGACGGGUAGCCGGCCUGAGAGGGUGACCGGCCACAUUGGGACUGAGAUACGGCCCAGACUCCUACGGGAGGCAGCAGUGGGGAAUAUUGCACAAUGGGCGGAAGCCUGAUGCAGCAACGCCGCGUGCGGGAUGACGGCCUUCGGGUUGUAAACCGCUUUCGCCUGUGACGAAGCGUGAGUGACGGUAAUGGGUAAAGAAGCACCGGCUAACUACGUG
This 468-nucleotide ribosomal RNA is filed under the name uncultured bacterium. Its description in RNAcentral is "partial 16S ribosomal RNA". It matches the Rfam family "Bacterial small subunit ribosomal RNA", at positions 28 to 507 of the family's 1533-position model. The record is from RNAcentral.